RNAcentral lists this ribosomal RNA (301 nucleotides) under uncultured bacterium. Its description in RNAcentral is "partial 16S ribosomal RNA". It matches the Rfam family "Bacterial small subunit ribosomal RNA", at positions 509 to 807 of the family's 1533-position model. The record is from RNAcentral.
CAGCCGCCACGGGAAUACAGAGGGUGCGAGCGUUAAUCGGAUUUACUGGGCGUAAAGCGUGCGUAGGCGGCUUUUUAAGUCGGAUGUGAAAUCCCUGAGCUUAACUUAGGAAUUGCAUUCGAUACUGGGAAGCUAGAGUAUGGGAGAGGAUGGUAGAAUUUCAGGUGUAGCGGUGAAAUGCGUAGAGAUCUGGAGGAAUACCGAUGGCGAAGGCAGCCAUCUGGCCUAAUACUGACGCUGAGGUACGAAAGCAUGGGGAGCAAACAGGAUUAGAUACCCCAGUAGUCCCUGUCUCUUAUAC